AAAAUAACUAUAGCCGACGAAAUAUGCCAUAAUUCAUCGGCUAAACCUUAUAAAAAAUUUAAAAUAUUAUAGCCGACAAAUAAACCUUUAAAUAUCGUCCGCUAAAGUUGCUGGUUUUUGAAAAAAAAAACUGCAGAAACUUUCGGCCACGUCCAAUCACCACCAAAAUUUGACAGAAUCUUCCUCUCAACAUUUCGAACAACUUUCUAGAAGAAGUCGAAGCCCAAUUCUAAGCCUAAACAGGUCAAUUAAAUCAAAAUAUAAAAAUCCUCAAUUUUAAACUCUAAAAACUUCAAAUCUUCGAUUCUCCUCACACACACCGAAUCGAGCUACCAAAUUCUAAGGGAAUGUAGUACUAAUCAAACUCAACUUAUCCAUAUAUAGAACUCAUCAAAUGGUGACCUGAGGAAGGAGAAAUUCGAUCGACACCGAAUCCAAACCGGCGGAGUUUUGGAGCUCGAUUUAUCUCUCACGGCGACGCCACUCGAUGCACCACCUAUCCAGCAAUGAAGUAGAGAUGACGGCGAAGCUUUUGGGACAAGUGUGGCGGUCUCCGGUGGCUUGACGGCGGAGCUAGGCCGAGAAGAAAAUCUAGCAGGCGAAAUAGACUUCUUACCAUCCACCUUCGGUAAAACUCCUAUAUAAAGAACUUUAGCCGACGAAAAUAAUAUAAAGAACUUUAGCCGACGAAAUUCUUUAUUUUCGUCGGCUAAACUCUUUUGAAAAUUUUGGUUGACCGCCAAAAAAUUUUGGUUGAAAAUUUUUCGACUUUAGCCGACGACUUUUCAUAUAUUUUCGUCGGCUAAAGUCCUUUGAAAAUUUUCCUCCAAAUUUGGUUUACCGCCCAAAAAUUUUUGACCUUAGCCGACGACUUUUUUAAUAUCUCGUCGGCUAAAGUCUAUAAAUUCACGAAAACGCUCAUAUCUCCCUCUAUAUUACGUAGUUUGGUCAAACCUUCCACACGAAAAAUUUUCACAUAGAUGAGAUGCAACCGCCUAUAUAAAAAUUUUGAGACAUUUGCCUUCCGACGAUAGGGCUCCCCAUAAGGAAUAAUAACGGUAAAUAGGGUUGACCGCUACUAUCGGCACCGAGACUUUACUCAAUUUACGUGAUUUUUGAACCAUAGCCGUAUUUCACCAUUCUGAACACAUCUUAUUUCACGAGAUUUUUGAUAAUUUUUGCUUCCUAUAUAGAGUUGGUUCACAAAGUUGUAUAACCUACUAAAUAAGUUAUACAACAUUAGUAGACACGUUGUGAUUCCGAUGACUAAAAUUCACAAACCAAAAUUCGACCGUCAGAUAUGAUC
This 1306-nucleotide long non-coding RNA is filed under the name Fragaria vesca (wild strawberry). Its description in RNAcentral is "long non-coding RNA (FVES_LNC004896)". Lineage: Eukaryota; Viridiplantae; Streptophyta; Magnoliopsida; Rosales; Rosaceae. The record is from RNAcentral.